AAAAAAAAAGAGUUAUGAGAAAACAAUUGCAUGUUUUAGUUGCUGAUUAAGCCUAAUGAGCACUCAAUAAGAUCAGAAAUAUAGUUUUGCAGUAUGUAGUUGAAUAAGGCAAACACCCAAUUCACUGUGUCCAAAUUAAACUAACUGGCCUGGUGCGGGUAAGCUUGUAGUUCAUGAAAACCGGAACAAUCUAAACCAUGAACUUCCAAAUAUUCUGCUCUCUUCUUUUAAUCGAACCUCAGAAACCAAGCAAAGAACUUGAUUGAUGAAAAAUAUGAAUAAAAAACAACUAACAUAAAUGGACACCUAGCUCUACAAAAUUAACAUUAAUCAUGCUUUGCAAACACACAUUCCAAGUUCUACUAUAUACAAUAACUAAUGAUUGCCCAUUGAAUAGAAAAUUAUAUGCGAAAUCGAAUACCCACAUGGAAAACCUAUCAAUUAUUGAUGCUGAUACAGUUAAAAUACGAGUGAUUGUGAGUUUACCGCAGCGCGAUUGCGAGGGUGA
Molecule: unclassified non-coding RNA, 508 nt
Filed under: Hevea brasiliensis (rubber tree)
Lineage: Eukaryota; Viridiplantae; Streptophyta; Magnoliopsida; Malpighiales; Euphorbiaceae
Source: RNAcentral